GCCCCGAUAGCUCAGAUGAACAGAGCAACGGACUUCUAAUCCGUGGGUCGCAGGUUUGAAUCCUGCUCGGGGUA
RNAcentral lists this transfer RNA (74 nucleotides) under Clostridia bacterium. RNAcentral's name for it is "tRNA-Arg". It matches the Rfam family "tRNA". Rfam says of the family: Transfer RNA (tRNA) molecules are approximately 80 nucleotides in length. Lineage: Bacteria; Bacillati; Bacillota; Clostridia. The record is from RNAcentral.